Molecule: ribosomal RNA, 442 nt
Filed under: uncultured bacterium
Lineage: Bacteria
Description: partial 16S ribosomal RNA
Rfam family: Bacterial small subunit ribosomal RNA
Source: RNAcentral
CCUACGGGAGACAGCAGUGGGGAAUAUUGGGCAAUGGGCGCAAGCCUGACCCAGCAACGCCGCGUGAAGGAAGAAGGCUUUCGGGUUGUAAACUUCUUUUAAGGGGGAAGAGCAGAAGACGGUACCCCUUGAAUAAGCCACGGCUAACUACGUGCCAGCAGCCGCGGUAAUACGUAGGUGGCAAGCGUUGUCCGGAUUUACUGGGUGUAAAGGGCGUGCAGCCGGAGAGACAAGUCAGAUAUGAAAUCCACGGGCUCAACCCGUGAACUGCAUUUGAAACUGUUUCCCUUGAGUGUCGGAGAGGUAAUCGGAAUUCCUUGUGUAGCGGUGAAAUGCGUAGAUAUAAGGAAGAACACCAGUGGCGAAGGCGGAUUACUGGACGAUAACUGACGGUGAGGCGCGAAAGCGUGGGGAGCAAACAGGAUUAGAUACCCCAGUAGUC